CUUCAGCGACCCCAGCCAGAGCGGCGCACCCGGCGGCCGGCGCUGCCCGUACACCGCCAGCAACGCGUGCGCCUC
This 75-nucleotide antisense RNA is filed under the name Pseudofrankia asymbiotica. Its description in RNAcentral is "Frankia asymbiotica ASpks TB sRNA". It matches the Rfam family "ASpks TB sRNA". The record is from Rfam by way of RNAcentral. Lineage: Bacteria; Bacillati; Actinomycetota; Actinomycetes; Frankiales; Frankiaceae.